GUACACACCGCCCGUCGCUCCUACCGAUUGGGUGUGCUGGUGAAGUGUUCGGAUUGGCAGCUCUGGGCGGUUCUCCGCCCUCCGCCGCCGAGAAGUUCAUUAAACCCUCCCACCUAGAGGAAGGAGAAGUCGUAACAAGGUUUCCGUAGGUGAACCUGCAGAAGGAUCA
Molecule: ribosomal RNA, 169 nt
Filed under: uncultured eukaryote
Lineage: Eukaryota
Description: partial small subunit ribosomal RNA
Rfam family: Eukaryotic small subunit ribosomal RNA
Source: RNAcentral